This 332-nucleotide long non-coding RNA is filed under the name Triticum aestivum (bread wheat). RNAcentral's name for it is "long non-coding RNA (TAES_LNC008332)". Lineage: Eukaryota; Viridiplantae; Streptophyta; Magnoliopsida; Poales; Poaceae. The record is from RNAcentral.
AGAAUAACAGCGUGCAAUGAAUGAAUAGGAAGAUUGAUCUUAGCUGCACACACAAAAAUAUUUGUUGGAAGAACUUUUUGCAGGGUAGCGGAUUUUCUUGCUUAAAAUUUAAUGAGAGUGAACAAAAUCUAGAAACAAAAAGUACAUCACUAAGUUGCGUGUUUCCAUGGAGCAGCCGCUGCUUCCCUUUGAGCCACCAUAGCCACUGUUUACACAUGUGCAGGUUGCCUCUGUCAACAACUCUUAUUAUCCGCACCUUCCUAGUUCUGAAAUUAAAGGAAUGGAGCACAUAGUUUAAAGAUUUAAGAGAAUAGUAAACAACUGCAGGUUUC